GAUCCUGGCUCAGGAUGAACGCUAGCUACAGGCUUAACACAUGCAAGUCGAGGGGCAGCAUGGUCUUAGCUUGCUAAGGCUGAUGGCGACCGGCGCACGGGUGAGUAACACGUAUCCAACCUGCCGUCUACUCUUGGCCAGCCUUCUGAAAGGAAGAUUAAUCCAGGAUGGGAUCCCCCAUGAGUUCACAUGUCCGCAUGAUUAAAGGUAUUUUCCGGUAGACGAUGGGG
This 230-nucleotide ribosomal RNA is filed under the name uncultured bacterium. RNAcentral's name for it is "partial 16S ribosomal RNA". It matches the Rfam family "Bacterial small subunit ribosomal RNA", at positions 15 to 230 of the family's 1533-position model. The record is from RNAcentral.